This 849-nucleotide ribosomal RNA is filed under the name uncultured bacterium. RNAcentral describes it as "bacterial SSU rRNA". It matches the Rfam family "Bacterial small subunit ribosomal RNA", at positions 8 to 899 of the family's 1533-position model. The record is from RNAcentral.
AGAGUUUGAUCAUGGCUCAGGAUGAACGCUGGCGGCGUGCCUAACACAUGCAAGUCGAACGGGAAUCUUCGGAUUCUAGUGGCGGACGGGUGAGUAACGCGUAAGAAUCUAACUUCAGGACGGGGACAACAGUUGGAAACGACUGCUAAUACCCGAUGUGCCGCAAGGUGAAACCUAAUUGGCCUGGAGAAGAGCUUGCGUCUGAUUAGCUAGUUGGUGGGGUAAGAGCCUACCAAGGCGACGAUCAGUAGCUGGUCUGAGAGGAUGAGCAGCCACACUGGGACUGAGACACGGCCCAGACUCCUACGGGAGGCAGCAGUGGGGAAUUUUCCGCAAUGGGCGAAAGCCUGACGGAGCAACGCCGCGUGAGGGAGGAAGGUCUUUGGAUUGUAAACCUCUUUUCUCAAGGAAGAAGUUCUGACGGUACUUGAGGAAUCAGCCUCGGCUAACUCCGUGCCAGCAGCCGCGGUAAUACGGGGGAGGCAAGCGUUAUCCGGAAUUAUUGGGCGUAAAGCGUCCGCAGGUGGUCAGCCAAGUCUGCCGUCAAAUCAGGUUGCUUAACGACCUAAAGGCGGUGGAAACUGGCAGACUAGAGAGCAGUAGGGGUAGCAGGAAUUCCCAGUGUAGCGGUGAAAUGCGUAGAGAUUGGGAAGAACAUCGGUGGCGAAAGCGUGCUACUGGGCUGUAUCUGACACUCAGGGACGAAAGCUAGGGGAGCGAAAGGGAUUAGAUACCCCUGUAGUCCUAGCCGUAAACGAUGGAUACUAGGCGUGGCUUGUAUCGACCCGAGCCGUGCCGAAGCUAACGCGUUAAGUAUCCCGCCUGGGGAGUACGCACGCAAGUGUGAAA